This 429-nucleotide ribosomal RNA is filed under the name Chloroflexota bacterium. Its description in RNAcentral is "Chloroflexi bacterium partial 16S ribosomal RNA". It matches the Rfam family "Bacterial small subunit ribosomal RNA", at positions 355 to 776 of the family's 1533-position model. The record is from RNAcentral. Lineage: Bacteria; Bacillati; Chloroflexota.
UGGGGAUUAUUGCACAAUGGGCGCAAGCCUGAUGCAGCCAUGCCGCGUGUAUGAAGAAGGCCUUCGGGUUGUAAAGUACUUUCAGCGGGGAGGAAGGGAGUAAAGUUAAUACCUUUGCCCAUUGACGUUACCCGCAGAAGAAGCACCGGCUAACUCCGUGCCAGCAGCCGCGGUAAUACGGAGGGUGCAAGCGUUAAUCGGAAUUACUGGGCGUAAAGCGUACGCAGGCGGUUUGUUAAGUCAGAUGUGAAAUCCCCGGGCUCAACCUGGGAACUGCAUUUGGUACUGGCAAGCUUGAGUCUCGUAGAGGGGGGUAGAAUUCCAGGUGUAGCGGUGAAAUGCGUAGAGAUCUGGAGGAAUACCGGUGGCGAAGGCGGCCCCCUGGACGAAGACUGACGCUCAGGUGCGAAAGCGUGGGGAGCAAACAGG